UGGUACUCCGGGAGUUCACAAUAAUUUCUCUUGCUACUUGCUUGUACUAUAGCAAGUCUUAUUGUGUUGUCUAUUUUUACCUGGUGUGAAAAUUAAGUGUGGAUGAUUGUGAUAUAUGGCUAGCUGUAAACUAUGAUAAAUGUUAUGUAUAGGUUGUUGCGUGAUUGAUUUGUUUGCUUUGGAUUUGUUGAUUGACUACAAAUUUGGAAAGCCAUUUCAAUGUUCUUGUUGUGUUCAUGAAGGGUUAAAAGGCUUGUCUGUGUCACUAUGCAAUGUUGAACUUUUUGGUCAAAAAAAAGAGGGGGAAAAAAGAGAGAGGGUAAGCUAGGACUGUGUGUACUGGUUUAUACUCAAGUCUUAAAAUUAAUGUUGUUAGUCAAACCAAAGAUGCUUUAGUCUUAAAAAAAUAAAUUUAACUUUUUUCAUUAAUUUCGUAUUAUUUUAUAACCUCCCUUAAAGUUAAUGAAAGAAAUGCUUUUAGUUUGAGCAAGGAAACAUAAGAAAGAUGAAUUUGUGGAUGUAAUCCUAAGAUGGUGGUCAUGAUGGAGAAUCAUUUGAGACGGUUUUGAUAUAAACAAUUCAGGCCUGUGAAUAUUUCCGUACAAAAUUGUGAUUUUAAUAAUGUGGAUGGGGCAAAAAGGGUGAAAGGGAGGCCAAAUUGGAUGGGGUAGAAGUAGAAGUUAUAUAGAAUAAUGGAAGGAGACAUUGUUGUUGGAGACACAAGUUAAAACAUGACCCUAAAAUAAGGUUGAGUGACAUAAAAGGUCUUUGUAGUUGAUCCCAAUUAGUUUGGCUUAAAGAGUUAGUUAAGUUGAGUGGUUGCUUGUAAUGCUAAGAGUUGUGGAAAAGAUUUGUAAGUGGCUUCAUUUAUAUUGUAAUGAAUUUUUGACUAAAACACUCAAAAGGAUUAAUAGUUAGACAAAACUAAAAUUUUUUGAGUUACUGGUCUCCAAAUAUAAUCCCAGCUCUUUCCUUUUUCUGCUGUUGAAAUUUGACUUAAAUUAAACUCUGCAACAAUAUUGAAAUUUGAAAGUGUGACAUGUUUUCUUAUUUAAGCAUGUUUCGUUCUAAUAGUUGUUUAAUGAGUUAGUACUUCGCACGUUCAAACUUAUGAACAUGCCUGCCUUCGUGUAGUUAAUGAUUUGAUUAAGUUGUGUUUUUGCUUGAUUAGAUAUAUAGUGGUUGACCUCACUUGAAAUUGAUGAGUAGUCAUAUAUAUAUGUGUAUAUAUAUAUUGGCUUGUUUGUAUGUUUUUCAAUUUUAUGACAUGGGCUCCGUUGUGUUUGUUUUGUUUGUCCAUGCAACACGACUUGAGAAUUGAGAGAGGGUCACCAUUGAAAAGUGGAGUGUUUAAUUUCUUUCAUUCUUUUCCCUUUUCAAAUAUGUUGGAGGUGAAAUGAAAUAUAUUUUGAGAAGAGAAUGCUUGAUAUGGUCAGUUCACAAAAAGAGAAUUUCUUUCUUAAUUGGAACUGCUCAUAAUUUGUACACCCCAAAACUAGCAUUGUUAUUUAUAACAAUCCCCAUUGGUACAAAGUUGACUCAUUUAUGUCAUGGCGUGCUUACUUGGAUCUUACACUUGGACUACGAAUUUGCAUGCUAUCGACAUCUAGAUGAUGGACUUCCUUGGAGCUGUCUUGAAAAUCCCUCUCUCUGGUGUGUUUAUAAUCUUGAGAGAUGUUCAUCUUGACUUCAAUUACAUACUAGUAAUUUGAGGGGAGCACAAAUACUCUUUAGAUUGCAUACAAGGAAUUUUGUAAACCAUUGGAAGUUGGAAUUUCUUCUAGAAAAUGCAUUAUCUUGGAAGAUUUUGAAGUUGUGGUAAGCUGGAGUAGGAAAUGUAAAUUAGGAACAUUUGAAUUUGCAAAGGGCAUGACCUAUUGUUCUGUACCUUCACCGAUCUCAAUAAGUAUUGGAAUUUGGAACCUAUAUUAUAAAUCUGCUAGUACAAUUCAACAAUGAGUCACUGAAUCAUUGAUAAAUUUAGGAUAUGACAGGUUCAGGGUAAGGUGUUCAAUGGGAAGAGAAGGUCAAUAAGGAGUUUGAUACUCUUUGAUUUAAUCAGUACCGUUUUAAUGUUCAUGCUUUUGUUUAAGAUAUGCUGUACACAGGAUGAAACCACAAAGAAGGCCCUGCCGGUUAGCAAAAGGCACUGGAACUAACUGAAGGCUUUUGGCCAGUUCCUUCUAUUUUUUUUUCCUUGUCCUGAAUGAAUAAACUAAUCUUUGUCUUCAAGAAUGUAUAUAUGAUUAUGUAUGUGACAUAAUUCAUAGAAAUAUUUCUAUAUUUCCUACAGAAGUUCUGUUUUGAAGUCCUGCUAUCAAUUACUUGGAUUUGAUAUACUAAUGCUUUGAGGAUGUAGCAAGUUAUGUCAAAGGUGUUUUGUGCAUCUGCUUAAGUUAAAAUUGGCAGGUACAGCAAAGCUGUUUUUGGUUUCUGUUUACUGCGCGAUGCCUUCUUUCUUCUCCCCUGCUCUCCCUGUUACUGUUAGGAUUUGGAAUGGAAACUCAUUUAUGUGCUGAGGAUGAGAUAUAUGAUCAACUUCAUGAAAGUAUGCUUGUUGGGCCAGUAAUGUUGCCAGCCACCCUUUUGUCCAUGAGGCCCCUGGCAGGCAGAUCCUCCAGAUCCAUAAAAAAUGUGUGAUUAUGAAUUGAAGACAUCAUUGGUGUCACGGUACUGCUAUUGACAUAUGCUUAUCUGGGACUAGAGUUUAUUUGAGUUGGAUGCUAUGUGAACAAUGAUUAUGAUGAUGAAUGGCUGCGAGAGGAACCUCCACCAAAGGUUUUGAUUGAUAGGGUUCAAAGAAAUAUUUUGGCUGACAAUCCCAAGGUCACGGAGAUGUAAAUCGAAGAAUCCCCUCCUUUAGCCGAGUAUGCCAUUGAAACCAAUGAGAAUGGAGAAAAACCAUGCCACUCCCUUCACCUGAUCGUCCGUCCAACUGAGCAGUAGUUGUGAAUCAAAGAAACUGCAUGACAUACUGUGACAUUUCUGCUUCAAAUUUUGACAUACUGAUGAUUUUGAGUGAAGUUGGUUUUCCAAAUCUCAAAAUCUCCAUCCAUGAUAUGCAAAAUUGGCUAGAUUGUGCUUUCUUUAUGGCAUAUAUAUUGGUCAUUGGAAACUAAUAAUGUCAAUUUUUGCUUUUGGUUUUUUUU
Long non-coding RNA from Quercus robur (English oak), 3149 nucleotides. RefSeq lists it as uncharacterized. The record is from RefSeq and is a predicted model, not a curated record. Lineage: Eukaryota; Viridiplantae; Streptophyta; Magnoliopsida; Fagales; Fagaceae. The transcript has 3 exons.